ACGUAGGGGGCGAGCGUUAUCCGGAUUCAUUGGGCGUAAAGCGCGCGUAGGCGGCCGGGCAGGCCUGGGGUCAAAUGCGGGGGCUCAACCCCCGCCCGCCCCGGGAACCUCCCGGCUCGGGUCCGGUAGGGGAGGGUGGAACGCCCGGUGUAGCGGUGGAAUGCGCAGAUAUCGGGCGGAACACCGGUGGCGAAGGCGGCCCUCUGGGCCGAGACCGACGCUGAGGCGCGAAAGCCGGGGGAGCGAACAG
RNAcentral lists this ribosomal RNA (250 nucleotides) under uncultured bacterium. RNAcentral describes it as "partial 16S ribosomal RNA". It matches the Rfam family "Bacterial small subunit ribosomal RNA", at positions 525 to 775 of the family's 1533-position model. The record is from RNAcentral.